RNAcentral lists this ribosomal RNA (433 nucleotides) under uncultured bacterium. RNAcentral describes it as "partial 16S ribosomal RNA". It matches the Rfam family "Bacterial small subunit ribosomal RNA", at positions 29 to 507 of the family's 1533-position model. The record is from RNAcentral.
AACGAACGCUGGCGGCAUGCCUAACACAUGCCAGUCGAACGAGACCUUCGGGUCUAGUGGCGCACGGGUGCGUAACGCGUGGGAACCUGCCCUUAGGUUCGGAAUAACUCCCCGAAAGGGGUGCUAAUACCGGAUAAUGUCUUCGGACCAAAGAUUUAUCGCCUUUGGAUGGGCCCGCGUUGGAUUAGCUAGUUGGUAGGGUAAAAGCCUACCAAGGCGACGAUCCAUAGCUGGUCUGAGAGGAUGAUCAGCCACACUGGGACUGAGACACGGCCCAGACUCCUACGGGAGGCAGCAGUGGGGAAUAUUGGACAAUGGGCGAAAGCCUGAUCCAGCAAUGCCGCGUGAGUGAUGAAGGCCUUAGGGUUGUAAAGCUCUUUUACCCGGGAUGAUAAUGACAGUACCGGGUGAAUAAGCUCCGGCUAACUCCGUG